CUCAGAAAUUUACCUGGGGGAACAGGAAAACCCUCUUGCCACAGUCAGAAAUGAGCACAUUGUAAGGCACAUUGUUGUCUUGCAGCCAAAUGCAAGCAUUAGAAACCACAGUGGCCAGGUCGUCCAGGGUGUUCCCUCCCUCAAAUACCAGGCCUCUCACAGGAUAAUUUAUCAGCUUGGACACGGUCACCCCAUUCUUCUUCGUGUCCUCAGAGAGUGGGAUCUUGUGGGUAGCUGCCUUCUCAACAGGGAAAGGCACUGACAAGUAGUACGCCUUUAAAGAAGAAAAGAUAAUAUAAUUCAGUACUAAGCAACAUUUUUAAAACAAAAGUUACCACAACACUAUCUGCACAAUACUGAAUAUGCUCCUGUUUGGUUGGGAUUUUGUGGUGAGAAGUAAA
This 401-nucleotide long non-coding RNA is filed under the name Zea mays. RNAcentral's name for it is "long non-coding RNA (ZMAY_LNC003589)". The record is from RNAcentral. Lineage: Eukaryota; Viridiplantae; Streptophyta; Magnoliopsida; Poales; Poaceae.